CAAUAGCGUAUAUUAAAGUUGUUGCAGUUAAAAAGCUCGUAGUUGGAUUUGUGGCGUACGGUGUGUUCCGGGCACUUGUUGUCUGAGUAACCUGCUGUUGCCAUCCUUGGGUGGAACCUGUGUGGCAUUAGGUUGUCGUGCAGGGGAUGCCCAUCAUUUACUGUGAAAAAAUUAGAGUGUUCAAAGCAGGCUUAUGCCGUUGAAUAUAUUAGCAUGGAAGAAUGAGAUAGGACUUUUUUGCUAUUUUGUUGGUUUGCGCAAAGAGGUAAUGAUUAAUAGGGACAGUUGGGGGUAUUCGUAUUCCAUUGUCAGAGGUGAAAUUCUUGGAUUUUUGGAAGACGAACUACUGCGAAAGCAUUUACCAAGGAUGUUUUCAUUAA
Molecule: ribosomal RNA, 380 nt
Filed under: uncultured eukaryote
Lineage: Eukaryota
Description: partial 18S ribosomal RNA
Rfam family: Eukaryotic small subunit ribosomal RNA
Source: RNAcentral